This 118-nucleotide ribosomal RNA is filed under the name Atractosteus spatula (alligator gar). Lineage: Eukaryota; Metazoa; Chordata; Actinopteri; Semionotiformes; Lepisosteidae. The record is from RNAcentral. RNAcentral also lists the same sequence under 1 other name.
CCCAGCAGUUAUAUCACCCUGCAACUCACAACUGGUAACCCACUAAAGCUAAGCAGGUGUGAGCCAGGUCAGUACCUGGAUGAGAGACCUCCUGGAAAAGCUAAGGUUGCUGUUGGAA